RNAcentral lists this ribosomal RNA (275 nucleotides) under uncultured bacterium. Its description in RNAcentral is "partial 16S ribosomal RNA". It matches the Rfam family "Bacterial small subunit ribosomal RNA", at positions 338 to 613 of the family's 1533-position model. The record is from RNAcentral.
CCUACGGGUGGCAGCAGUGAGGAAUAUUGCGCAAUGGACGGAAGUCUGACGCAGCAAUGCCGCGUGCGGGAAGAAGGUGCUAUGCAUCGUAAACCGCUGUAGCGUGGGGCAAAAAGCACCCUUGGGGUGUGAGAUGGUACCACGAAAGUAAGCAUCGGCUAACUACGUGCCAGCAGCCGCGGUAAUACGUAGGAUGCAAGCGUUGUCCGGAUUUACUGGGUGUAAAGGGUGCGCAGGCGGGACUGUAAGUCAGAGGUGAAAGCCCGGAGCUUAAC